Molecule: long non-coding RNA, 7513 nt
Filed under: Sus scrofa (pig)
Lineage: Eukaryota; Metazoa; Chordata; Mammalia; Artiodactyla; Suidae
Description: lncRNA (ENSSSCG00050048523.1)
Source: RNAcentral
UUUUUUUUUUUUUUUAAUAAAUUUUUUGAUUGAAAGUCCUCUUGAUCCAGUUUUAAGAACCACACUUUUUUUUUAAUCCCCAUUGUUUUUUUUAUCUGUAUCCACAUACUUCAUUAGAGAAUAUUCAAGAUAAUCUCAACUUUCUAUGUUAUUCAAGAUAACACAGAAAUGAAAAUGCAAUCACAUAGUUAACAUAUAUAAUUUUAGUCUGAAAAACUUCCCUCUGGGUCAUGGAAUGAAUAACAUUUAUAUUAUUUUUUCUUUUCCCUAUUCCAUCAAGGUGCUAUGCACAUAUCUCUAUUCUGACUCUAAAGUUGUAAUUACAUUGUAAUUGUAAUUCUUAUGUCAGUUGACUUACUAUAUUGUAAAUGUGUUAAUCCCAGAAAUAUACAUCUUUCUAAAUGAAAGCUGUCUAAAUUUAAGGUAUACAACAUGAUGAACUGAUAUACAUAUACAGAGUGAAAUUACUAGAGGCAAGAUGGUUAGUGUAUCAUCUCCUCACAUAGUUACCUUUUUUUUGUGAUGAGAACACCUGAUAUCUCUCUUAGUAUAUUUUCAGUAUUCAAUAUAGUAUUAUUAACUAUAGCCAUACACUGUACAUUAAAUCUCUAGAUUUACUUAUCCUAGACAAAUAUAACUUUGUACCCUUUGACCAACAUCUCAUUUACCCCCAAGCCCAGUCCCUGGUAACCACCAUUCUACUCUCCACUUCUGAGUUUGACUUUUUAAGAUUGCAUGUAUAAAUGGAUUAUGUAGUAUUUGUCUUUGUAUGCUUGGUUUAUUUCAUUUUGUAUAACAUCCUCUGAUGUUCAUCUAUGUUACCACAAAUGAGAGGAUUUCCUUCUUUUUUAAGUCUGAAUAAUAUUUCAGUCUGUCUGUCUGUCUGUCUAUCUAUCUACAUAUCACAUUUUCUUUAUCCACUCAUUUGCCAAUGGACACUCAGGUUGAUUCCAUAUCUUAACUACUAUGUAUAAUGCAGCAUGUAGGUAGCUCUUUGAGAUAAUUAUUUUAUUUGGAUACAUACCCAGAAGUAGAAUUGCUGGAUCAUAAGAAUCAAGUAUUUUCAAGUCAUUUAAUUUCUACUGGACAUUUAAAGGGCUUUCUGGAAUACAGCCUAGUAAAUGGCAAGAGACCAACAAAGCUUAAAUAAAAGUCACACAGAGCAGAAAAAGAAUAUUUCAUUUGCUAUGACAGAAGUCUCAGGAGUGGAAGGAGGUACAAAGAGGAAAAUAAAUGUUCAUCAUAAAUGAGAUGCUGGGCUACAUAUGCCUGCCUAUCUAAUUAGGCCCUAAGAUGAUUCCUAAGGCAGCACAAAGCAGCAAGGCAGGAUGCUUAAAGAAUGUUGGAUUAUGAAGCAAGAAGAAAUGAGCUCUGGCUGGGGGAGUUGGCAUGUUUUUUAAAACUCUUUAAUUUAAAAUAAUUACAGAUUAAUCUGAAACUGCAAAUAAAAAUAUAGAGUGGCUCUAAUGUAUGCUUUCCAGUUCCCCCUAAUGAUUACAUUUUAUAUAACUAUAGUAUGAUAUCAAAUCCAGGAAACUGACAUUGGUGCGAUGUCUGUGUAUAGUUAGUUCUAUACCAUUUAUCACAUAUGCAAACUAGUGUAAUUGCCAUGGCAAGUGAGAUACAGAAUUAUUUAUUAACCACAAAAACAUUCCUUUAUGGUCACCCAUAUCUCCUCCUCAUCUCCUAUUCUUCAAUGCUGGCAACUGAUAAUUCAUUUUCCAUCUUUAUAUAAAAUUUUAUCAUUUUGAGAAUGUUAUAUAAUUGGAAUCAUUUACUAUAUGACUUUUUGAGAUUGGCUUUUUUCACUCAGCCUAAUACCCCUGAGAUAUACCAAGCUAUUGAGUAUAUCAAUAGUUCAUUACUUUUUAUUGCUCAAUAGUAUUUUAUGGUAUAAAUGUACUAAAGUUUAACCACUUCCUAGUAAAAAAAAACCAUUUUGGUUGUUUCCAUUUUUGUCACAAAUAAAGUGAAUUAUUUAUAUUUAAUGUAAUUAGUGAUAUGUUAAGAUGUAAGUCAGUUGUUUUAAUUUUUAUUUAUUCUGUUUGUGGCCUUUUUAACUUUUUGAACCUAUUUAUUGCUAUCUUUUGCCAAAUUUUGGACAAUUUCAGCCAUUAUUUCUUCAAAUAUUUUUAUAGUCCUCUCUUCUCUGUCCUCUCCUUCUGGGAGUCUGAUAAGAUGAAUAUCUGACCUUUUGUUAUAGACCUAUCAGGUCCCUGAGGCACUGUUAAUUUUUUUUUCAGUCUAUUUUCUCUCUUAUAUUCUGAUUGGGUAAUUUGGAUUGCUCCAUUUGAAGAUUCACUGAUUCUUUCCUCUUCCCUCCCUAUUUUGUGUUGAACACAUCCAGAGUUUUAAAAUUUUGCUUAUUAGAGCUUUCAGUUCUAAUAUUUUCAUUUGGUUCACCUCUAUAUUUUUAUUUCUCUGCUAAAGUUUUCUAAUUUUUCAUUUGUUUAAGCACAUUGUAAUUGCAUGUUGAAUUUUAUGAUGGCUGCAUUAAAAAUCCUGUGGAAUAAUCACAACAUCUGUUAGCUAUCUUUUCUAAUUCAGAUUUUUCUGCUUCUUGGUAUGGUGAGUAAUGUCUUUUUUCUUUUUUUUAUGGCCACACCUGUGGCAUGUGGACGUUCCAGGUCUAGGGGUCAAAUCAGAACUGCAGCCGAGGGCUAUGCCACAGCCACUGCAACAAUGGAUCUGAGUCGCGCCUUCAAUGUAUGCUGUACCAUGUGGCACUGGUGGAUCCUUAACCCACUGAGUGAUGCCAGGGAUCAAAUUUGCAUUCCCACAGAGAUAAUGUUGGGUCCUUAACCAGCUGAGCCACAACAAGAGCUCCUGAUGAGUGAUUUUUUAUUUUUAUCUUUGACAUAUUGGGCAUUACAUUAUAAGACUCUGGAUCUUAUUUAAAUCUUGCAUGUUAAAAGGCCUUCUCUGACAACAUGCUGGUAUGGGGAAGAGGGUGCCACCUUAUCACUAUCAGGUGGGGACAGAGGUAUAGGUUUCCUGCUUGGUCUUUACUGACACACUUGGCAGAGGGAAAGGUGCCCCAUCAUUGUUGGGUGACAAUAGGAGUUUGGGUUCCUCAUUUAAGUUGUCCACUGAUACCACACAGGUUUGCUAGUUUGGAGAGGGAGAGAUAGAUGUUACUGUUCCCCAUGUGGCCUCCGGAGGAUGGUGGUGGGCUUGUUCUCACAGCAAGGUUCUAAGGGAGGUGGGACUUGGUACUAGAGGAAGGUGGUUAAGUCCUGGAAUUCCAUUGGCCCUUUCUGACACCACUAUCAUGGGGAGGGGGGAGUCUUACUAUUUCUGGAAGUAGUGAAAGAGGUAGUAGGGAUAAUAAACCAGCUAAUACUUAGCACUUAACAAUGUGAGAUACCAUGUGAAGAGCCUCACCCGAUUUACCUCAUUUCAUCUAUACAAUAUUCCCAUACAGCAGCAUUGCUAUUCUUGUUUUCAGGCAAGAAAACUCAGGUUUAGAGAUAAUAAAUUAUGGCAGAGUCAGGAUUCCAAUCCAGGCAGUCUCACUGCUAAGCCUAGGUCUGAAACUGCUACACCAUAGUGAGGAUUAAUCAAGAUGACACGUGAAAGUGCUUGAAAAUUAGAAAGCACUAAACAAGUGUGAGGGAAUUUUUAUUACCACUUUUCACAGUACUUUGACAAGUGACCAUGAUUAGGUAAAUGAAAAUUCAGGCUUCAUCCAAUGCUAAUGAAUCAUUUAAACAUUUUUCCCCACUGUACCAGCUAUCCCAAAAGAUAUGAUUCAUAUUCAAUAAAAGCUGCAAAGCACUGCUUAAAGUUUUAAAGGUAGAACUUUAGGGUAAUACAUGUACACACUAUUUCCUCAUAGGUAUUUUUACAUUUUGCACAUAUAGAAAUGGGAGUUGAAUUUUGGUUUAAUCUCUUUAGAUAGGUUUAAAUAGAAAUUGUGAGGAGAGAGGUGUUAUGGAUAAUCACCGAGCCAUGCUACCUACUUUAUAGAAAGGAGAUUCUGAUCUGGAGGAAUCCCUUCAGUUUAAGGAAGUAGUUAAAUGUAGAUCAUGAAGUAGAAGUAUAUACAUUCAUAUGAAAAAGAAAAUGUAUGUCAUCCACAUGUCAUACCCAUAAGCUCAAUGGAUGAAAAUAAAGACAGAGUCCUGCUUCAAAUUUCAUAGGUCAGUAAACUGUAAUUAGAAUUCCAUAUCAUAAAUAUGACCCUAGAAAUAAACUCAGAAGGAAGGCAGAAGCAACACUGGAGGAGGUAACUCCUGAGCUGAGUCUCACAGGAAGAGAACUUAGCUUGGUGGGCUGGCAGUGGUGUGGGGCAGUAGGGAGUACGCAAAAGGAUGCCUGAAAGAGUAUGGACAUUCAGGGAGCUGCAGGUUAGUGGGUAUAGCCAGAGCAGCAGGAAAUGUGAUUAUUAGUAUGCUUCAUUAAGGAUUUUGGUUCUUAAUCUUCAAGGUGAUGUAAGCCAAUGAAAGAUUCAUUUUAGAAACAGGACUCUCAUCAUAAUGUGUAGGCUGUUAUAGAAAGAUUACACUAAAGACACAGAAGAGGGAUACAAUAUUACUGCAAAUGAGAGAUGAUGUGGCACAUAGAAUAAUCCGAUUAAUUGCAUAUUUAGGGAAUGAGGAGGAAGAAGAGUGAAGUGAAGUAUGGUUUUAAAACUUCCUAGGUUUCUGGCUUAGAUAGUAGUGUUAUUUCACAGUAAGCAGGGGAAGACAGGCCCAGUUUUGGGGGCAUGCUAAGUUUCAGAUAUUGGGUAUGGAGAUGCUGAUUUGGAAUUGUCAGUGUAUGGACAAUAAUUGAAGCCAUAAACAUAAAACUGUCCAUUAAGAUGGUAUAGCCUGAUUGAGAGGAGAAGGAAAAACUCAAAAGAGAAUCCUAGGAAAUAUCAACGUUUGCAAAAUGGUUCACUAGAAGGAAAGUCCAGAGAGGGAUUUUACACAAACCAAAGGAGGGGAGAUUUUCAACAUGGAAGUCACUGGUAACCGGGUGAAAGCACUCUGGUGGAAUGGUGGGAGAAGAAGCCAAACUAGAGUGGGUAGAAAGUGAAUGUGUGGUAUGGGAGUGAAAAGAGUGGAUGCUGACAGCUCUUUAAGAUGCUUAGAUGUGACAGACAGUGGUGAUAAGUAUGACCAGCAGCCAAUGAGCUGCCAUUUCUUUUCUACUGGAAAUAAAAGAGUGCCUAAUGAUAGUAAUACAAUAAAGCUUAAUUUUUUGGAGCUUAGACAAAAACACAUGUAAAAAUGAAACAGAAAAAUAUGAAAGUGCUAAUCUUAGGAUGUAUAAAAUCUGAUAGAAGCCAGAUUUUCCCAACUAUAGGCAACAAUAAGUAGCUUAAAAAAUUAUGUUGCUUGGAGUUCCCAUCAGUGGUUAAUGAAUCCGACUAGGAACCAUGAGGUUGUGGGUUCAAUCCCUGGCCUUGUUCAGUGGGUUAAGGAUUCGGUGUUGCUGUUAGCUGUGAUGUAGGUUGCAGACUCGGCUCGGAUCCUGCGUUGCUGUGGCUGUGGUGUAGGCCAGCGGCUACAUCUCCGAUUAGACCCCUAGCCUGGGAACCUCCAUAUGCCAAGGGAGCGGCCCUAGCAAAGACAAAAAGACGAAAAAUAAAUAAAUAAAAUUAAAAAAUAAAAAUUAUGUUGCUUAUUUGUUCUUCUAAAACUACCUAUCAAAUAUCUAUCAAACUGUAUGUAAACUGCAGAGUUUAAAAAAGCCUUCUGGAUAGUCUAAUCUGCAAUCCCACACCUUAGAUGAGACUUCUUGCCUUAGAAAGGCACUCCAGGAAAGCAAGUCAGUUCAAUUCAGAAAUGUUGGUUUAAGUGUCUUAAGGUGCCCAAUAGAAGAUGUGCAGGCAAAGGCAAUGGCUUUAGUAUAGCUUCCAAUAGAGAAUCCAGAAAUAAACCCAGACACCUUUGGUCAAUUAAUCUUUGAUAAAGGAGGCAAGAAUAUAAAAUGGGAAAAAGACAGUCUUUUCAGCAAGUAUUGCUGGGAAAUCUGGACAGCUGCAUGCAAAUCAAUGAAACUGGAACACACCCUCACACCAUGCACCAAAAUAAACUCAAAAUGGUUGAAAGACUUAAAUAUAAGACAAGACACAUCAAACUCCUGGAAGAGAACAUAGGCACACAUUCUCUGACAUCAACCUUAAAAAUGUUUUCUAAGGUCAGUCUCCCAAAGUAAUAGAACUAAAAGCAAAAAUUAACCAAUGGGACCUAGCUUUUACACAGCAAAGGAAACCAAAAAAGAAAACAAAAAGACAACUUACAGAAUGGGAGAAAAUAGUUUCAAAAGAUGCAACUGACAAGAGCCUGAUCUCUAAAAUAUACAAACAACUUAUACAACUCAACAGCAAAAAAGCCAACAACCCAAUUGAAAAAUGGGCAAAGGACCUGAAUAGACAUUUUUCCAAGAAGGAUAUACAGAUGCACCACUAACUCUGGAUGUGACCCUGCACGAGUUAUUUAACCUCUUUAAAUCUGUUCCCUCAUCUAAAACUUGCAAGGGUUGAAUGAGAGAAUAUUUAAAGUUCUUUAGAGCUUUUGAUAUUUUAAGAUUUGUGGAUAAGUGGGUCUAAGAUUGUUGAAUUAUACAUUCUUUUCUUUCUACUCAGCGACUUUCAAGAGCAUAUGGAAAGUUUUUCUUCCAUGCCUCCUGCUCCAGACGCUUACCAUUCUGUUUCCACCUGCCUGAUUCCCACUCCCUACGACACUUCCUCAAAGAAGCCCUCUCUAACCUUCCUAUUAGGAAGGACUCUCUCCUUUCACUGACCUUUCAGAACAUUGGAUCUUUACUUUGCUCAUGGCACACUUUGCUUUGGCAUCCAUGUCUUAUUUUACUAGACCAGAGGAUAGCAAACUUUUUCUAUAAAGGACCAGAGAGUAAAUAUUCUUUGCUCUGCAGUCAUAUACAGUCUCCAUCACUACCACUCAACUCAACCACUGUUGGGAGAAAACAGCCGUAUGUAACAAAUGGGUUACAUACUUAUUCCAAUAAAACUUUAUUUACAGCAGGCGAAGCUUUGGCCUGUAGGUUCUAGGUUGUUGGCCCUUGUGCUAGACUAUAAUGUUCUUGAGAGCAAGUUCCAUACUACACUGUCUUAGCAUUCCUUAUGAUGCCUUGUAUAACAUAUUCUUGCCUAAAUAAGGCACACAAAUACAAAGAAUAAAUUAUAUAUGCUUAAAAUAAGAAAAUCGAUGGUGCCUCCUCCAUGUUUUCCAUAUCAAGAAAAAAAUGAGAGAAUGGAUAUAAGCGCAUGUGAAAGUGGUACAGUCCUUGGCCUCCCAGUUUGUUUCUUCCCUCAGUAAUCCAUCCAAUGUGUACACAUUGCUGCCUUUUAGAAGGUACUUCUUCUCUUCUAAAUCUAGCAAAAAGCAAAAUUUUACUCAGUUUGCAAUGCCAAAAGCCCUUAAGUAAACAAAGGCACUUUUCCUUCAAUUUUUUGUUUUGAAAACUGUCAGAAAAGCCAAAGAAUAGUAAACAAUGAACUAUACUCUACCUAGAUUCAUUGAUUAUCACUUGGCUACAGCACAUUUUAAAGAUAAAUUUU